Molecule: ribosomal RNA, 253 nt
Filed under: uncultured bacterium
Lineage: Bacteria
Description: partial 16S ribosomal RNA
Rfam family: Bacterial small subunit ribosomal RNA
Source: RNAcentral
UACGAACCGUACGAACGUUAUUCGGAUUCACUGGGCUUAAAGCGUGCGUAGGCGGCUGGGAAAGUUGGGUGUGAAAGCCCUCGGCUCAACCGAGGAAUUGCGCCCAAAACUACCUGGCUUGAGGAAGAUAGAGGUAAGCGGAACUAAUGGUGGAGCGGUGAAAUGCGUUGAUAUCAUUAGGAACACCUGUGGCGAAAGCAGCUUACUGGGUCUUAUCUGACGCUGAUGCACGAAAGCUAGGGGAGCGAACGGG